CUCUUAUGAAUUUUAAGGCAUUGUAUAAAUCAAUAUUUUUAUCCCUUUGGCUUUAUGAAAAAAAAUCUAUUUUUUCAAUUCUUCCCUUGGCCGAUUAAAUGUAAUGGCAAAAGUUAACAAAAUGAUAUUCACUCGAGUAUUUUUAAAACAUAUACCAGUUUUUUUAAAAUUACUUUUCAGAUUUUUUAAUCUUUCAAUUCUGCAACUUCUAUAUCUCUGUUUAAAUUUAAAAAUAAAAAUAUAUUUCCCAUUCUUUGAUGUGUUUAUAUAAUUCUUUUGAGUUCUGUAAGAAGUGUCGGACAUCAUUUUUAAAGGCCUUUGUUUAUAGUAGUAUUUUUUUUUAUUAAACAAAUACAAAAACAACCAAAACUCAUAGCAUAAAUAAGGUAUGUUCAGCGUCUCAUGAAUAGAUCAAAAUUCUCACAUGACUUGAUCUUUUAUAUAAGAAAAUAUAAUCACGUGAUUGCAAUUGGAUUGUUUACUCCUAACACCAAUUUUUUUAUGGAAAUAACACUGCUAGACUGCUAGUUCUUUUGAAUUAUAUAAGAAUUUGUACAAACUUUAUUCAAACAUUUGUUUAAGUACUUUAUUUAACCUUAGCCUUUCUCAAACGCACUCAAAUUGAGUUAGCUUGCAUUGUGUGAAAUCUUAUUGGAUUGAAUAAGAAGUUGCAAAUGCAGCAGAGAAAGCAAAAUUAGAAAAGAUAGAAUAAUGCGUUCUAUGUUCUGUCAUUUUGUAUAUUUGAUUUGACUUCCUCUCACUCUAUUUUAUUCUUCUUUUUAAUUUGAAUAAUUAUU
This 797-nucleotide long non-coding RNA is filed under the name Citrus x clementina. RNAcentral's name for it is "Citrus clementina (C. clementina) long non-coding RNA (CCLE_LNC002721)". Lineage: Eukaryota; Viridiplantae; Streptophyta; Magnoliopsida; Sapindales; Rutaceae. The record is from RNAcentral.